RNAcentral lists this ribosomal RNA (495 nucleotides) under uncultured bacterium. RNAcentral's name for it is "partial 16S ribosomal RNA". It matches the Rfam family "Bacterial small subunit ribosomal RNA", at positions 28 to 507 of the family's 1533-position model. The record is from RNAcentral.
GAUGAACGCUGGCGGCGUGCCUAAUACAUGCAAGUAGAACGCUGAAGGAGGAGCUUGCUCUUCUGGAUGAGUUGCGAACGGGUGAGUAACGCGUAGGUAACCUGCCUGGUAGCGGGGGAUAACUAUUGGAAACGAUAGCUAAUACCGCAUGACAACAGUUAUUGCAUGAUAACUGUUUAAAAGGGGCAACUGCUCCACUACCAGAUGGACCUGCGUUGUAUUAGCUAGUUGGUGAGGUAACGGCUCACCAAGGCGACGAUACAUAGCCGACCUGAGAGGGUGAUCGGCCACACUGGGACUGCGACACGGCCCAGACGCCUACGGGAGGCAGCAGGAGGGAAUCUUCGGCAAUGGACGGAAGUCUGACCGAGCAACGCCGCGUGAGUGAAGAAGGUUUUCGGAUCGUAAAGCUCUGUUGUAAGAGAAGAACGAGUGUGAGAGUGGAAAGUUCACACUGUGACGGUACCUUACCAGAAAGGGACGGCUAACUACGUG